UCAGAUUGAACGCUAGCGGGAUGCUUUACACAUGCAAGUCGAACGGCAGCGCGGACUUCGGUCUGGCGGCGAGUGGCGAACGGGUGAGUAAUGUAUCGGAACGUACCCAGUAGCGGGGGAUAACUACGCGAAAGCGUGGCUAAUACCGCAUACGCCCUUUGGGGGAAAGCGGGGGACCUUCGGGCCUCGCACUAUUGGAGCGGCCGAUAUCGGAUUAGCUAGUUGGUGAGGUAAAGGCUCACCAAGGCGACGAUCCGUAGCUGGUUUGAGAGGACGACCAGCCACACUGGGACUGAGACACGGCCCAGACUCCUACGGGAGGCAGCAGUGGGGAAUUUUGGACAAUGGGGGCAACCCUGAUCCAGCCAUCCCGCGUGUGCGAUGAAGGCCUUCGGGUUGUAAAGCACUUUUGGCAGGGAAGAAAAGGUGCCGGUGAAUACCCGGCGCCGCUGACGGUACCUGCAGAAUAAGCACCGGCUAACUACGUGCCAGCAGCCGCGGUAAUACGUAGGGUGCAAGCGUUAAUCGGAAUUACUGGGCGUAAAGCGUGCGCAGGCGGCUCGGAAAGAAAGAUGUGAAAUCCCAGGGCUUAACCUUGGAAUGGCAUUUUUAACUCCCGAGCUAGAGUAUGUCAGAGGGGGGUAGAAUUCCACGUGUAGCAGUGAAAUGCGUAGAGAUGUGGAGGAAUACCGAUGGCGAAGGCAGCCCCCUGGGAUAAUACUGAC
This 725-nucleotide ribosomal RNA is filed under the name Candidimonas sp. Its description in RNAcentral is "bacterial SSU rRNA". It matches the Rfam family "Bacterial small subunit ribosomal RNA", at positions 24 to 744 of the family's 1533-position model. The record is from RNAcentral. Lineage: Bacteria; Pseudomonadati; Pseudomonadota; Betaproteobacteria; Burkholderiales; Alcaligenaceae.